This 30-nucleotide non-coding RNA is filed under the name Rattus norvegicus (Norway rat). The record is from RNAcentral. Lineage: Eukaryota; Metazoa; Chordata; Mammalia; Rodentia; Muridae.
UGUGUGGAUACUGAGCUCCUAUGUCUCAGG